UGGACAACAGGUAGAGAUUCCUGUACCAGUGCUAAUUGUUUAACCGAUGGGGUGACACAGAAGGAUAGGGAAUCGCACGAAUGGAAAUGUGCGUCCAAGCAGUGAGUGUGAGAAGUAGGCAAAUCCGCUUCUCGCGAAGCAUGAGCUGUGAUGGGGAAGGAAAUUAAGUACGGAAGUUCCUGAUUUCACGCUGUCAAGAAAAGCCUCUAGGAAGAGUAGUACUGCCCGUACCGCAAACCGACACAGGUAGAUGAGGAGAGAAUCCUAAGGUGAGCGAGAGAACUCUCGUUAAGGAACUCGGCAAAAUGACCCCGUAACUUCGGGAGAAGGGGUGCUCUAUUAGGGUGCAAGCCCGAGAGAGCCGCAGUGAAUAGGCCCAGGCGACUGUUUAGCAAAAACACAGGUCUCUGCAAAACCGUAAGGUGACGUAUAGGGGCUGACGCCUGCCCGGUGCUGGAAGGUUAAGAGGAGUGCUUAGCUUCGGCGAAGGUACGAAUUGAAGCCCCAGUAAACGGCGGCCGUAACUAUAACGGUCCUAAGGUAGCGAAAUUCCUUGUCGGGUAAGUUCCGACCCGCACGAAAGGCGCAACGAUCUGGGCACUGUCUCAACGAG
Molecule: ribosomal RNA, 613 nt
Filed under: Listeria monocytogenes
Lineage: Bacteria; Bacillati; Bacillota; Bacilli; Caryophanales; Listeriaceae
Description: partial 23S ribosomal RNA
Rfam family: Bacterial large subunit ribosomal RNA
Source: RNAcentral